GAGGGUAUAUCUGAGUGGUACGGUGCGUGCCUAGCAUGCACAAGUUCCUGGGUUCAGUCCCCAGUACCUCCA
Molecule: transfer RNA, 72 nt
Filed under: Camelus bactrianus (Bactrian camel)
Lineage: Eukaryota; Metazoa; Chordata; Mammalia; Artiodactyla; Camelidae
Also listed under: 2 other names
Rfam family: tRNA
About the family: Transfer RNA (tRNA) molecules are approximately 80 nucleotides in length.
Source: Rfam by way of RNAcentral